CCUACGGGUGGCUGCAGUAGGGAAUUUUCGUCAAUGGGCGCAAGCCUGACCGAGCAAUGCCGCGUGAACGAGGAAGGUCUUCGGAUCGUAAAGUUCUGUUGAAGGGGAAAAAGAGCGGAGAGAGGAAAUGCUUUCUGAUUGAUAUUACCCUUCGAGGAAGUCACGGCUAACUACGUGCCAGCAGCCGCGGUAAGACGUAGGUGGCGAGCGUUAUCCGGAUUGAUUGGGCGUAAAGGGUGCGUAGGCGGCCUGCUAAGUCUGGAGUGAAAGGUACCGGCUCAACCGGUACAGGCUCUGGAAACUGGCGGGCUAGGGGGCAGGAGAGGGCGGGUGAACUCCAUGGGGAGGGGUAAAAAGCGUAGGUAUAUGGAAGAACACCAGUGGCGAAGGCGGCCGCCUGGCAUGUUAACUGACGCUGAGGCACGAAAGCGUGGGGAGCAAAUAGGAUUAGAUACCCGAGUAGUC
This 465-nucleotide ribosomal RNA is filed under the name uncultured bacterium. RNAcentral describes it as "partial 16S ribosomal RNA". It matches the Rfam family "Bacterial small subunit ribosomal RNA", at positions 338 to 795 of the family's 1533-position model. The record is from RNAcentral.